Amphiprion ocellaris (clown anemonefish) is the source of this 2021-nucleotide long non-coding RNA. NCBI's taxonomy places the organism in Eukaryota, Metazoa, Chordata, Actinopteri, Pomacentridae. The record is from Ensembl.
GCUCCUUGAGGUUUUCACCUGCUAACAGUCAACAGGUGAGUCUUGUUAGAUGUUAACUGGUGGGAUUUUGCAGUCAUGUUGCUGCACAGCAACAGGCUCUGUUAAACUACUGCAGAAAUCCAUUAUAUGACAAGAACUACUCAGCAAAGUAAAGACAAAUGACAGUUUCUUGUUACUUUAAGACAUGAAGGUCAGUCAGUCAGAUAAUUUCAUGAAAGUUUCCUCAAAAAGCUCCAAACACAGUGGAGAAACUGGUUCUGAUGAGGAGAACAGAUUAGAUCCACAUCAGUGCAAGCAACAAAUUACAGAGAGAAUAAGACUUUAAUGGUGGAACGGCUGCAAAAAAACCAAGAAGAAGAAGAGAACUGCUCGGACCCGGAGGUAGUUGAAGUGGAUUUUAGACCAGCUGAAAUCUGAAUGCAGAGAAUGGACUGUGAUGCUGUUGGAGAUUUACUUAAAGUUCAAGUCUUUCUCUAUGUGAGCCAUCGUGAUCUUCAGUGCAUCGAUGUCUUUACACUCCACAACAUCUGGAAUCUUCAGCAGGAUCCGGUUCCACUGUUGGACUCCAGGAGCCUGAUGGAACAUAAUAAACACACACAGGUUGGCCAUGAUGCGGUGAAGAUGUUCUGCAUCCUCUUGGACCGUUUGCUCCACGUCUGGGUUCCAACAUCUCUGCAGUUUACGUCGACUGCUCUGGAGGAGAUGCUUCAGAUGCAGCUGAAGGUUUUGGUCCAGAUCUGCAGGAGGCUUCGGGAAAAUCUGGGACAAGAAUCUUCGUACGAGGUGAACAACACGUUGUUGCAUAUCGUGUCGACCUGAGCAGCAAGAUCCGUCCUCAGGGGUGGUGGCAUCAGAAUACUUCCCGAGAAGCUCAAAUAGCUCCUGAAGAAAGACGUCUUUCUCCUGCUGCAGGUGUUCUUCCUCCUCAGUGUUGACGGUGUUCUGAACCAAGGGCUCGGCUACAGUGUAUCCUGUAAAAGAUAUGAAAAGGGAUUAUUCAUGGACACCGAAUCCCUUUUUAGGGGGUCGUGUCUCAUUUUUUGAUUGGUCUUGUCCACAUCACAGAGCAGUUACAAUAAUCACUUUUGGAAUAAACCAAACACAGAAACUUUAAAAGCUUAACUGGAGUCCAAGCUCUUAGUGAGUCCAUUUCAUUUAGUGCUAAUGUUACACUUGGGUUUGUAAUUGCUGCUUUCUGUCAUUUUCCAACACGGUUUUCCAACGUUUUCACUCACUGUUUACUUUAGUUUUCGAAACCGAAAGUCUGACAUGGUUAGUUCAAGGGCCGUCAACAAUUCUUUCCAUUUUUACAGCUCUUGGUUCUGAUAAAUGGUGUAAGUUUGGCAGUUGUUUUGAUUUAUUAACUUCUUUAAAGGUGCCUUUAAAAAAUCUGCCGGUGGGUUUUGGAGGCGCGGCAGGAUUACUGCACAGGAAACAAAGGAAUUUCUACUCCUGUUGUUCUUGAACUACAGUUCUUAUCACGGUUUAGUGACUUCUUAUCAAAUAUUUUUCCCAGAAGUUUGACUAAGGUAGGAAUGGGCCGAGCUUGGAAAAAAUGACGUAACAUUUUCGAUGGAUGAUUAUGAAACUGUUCAGCGUGCAGACAUUGGCUUCAGCUGAAUACUGGUUUGGAGGAUAUGUGUAGCUUCCAGACAAUGACUUCUAGUGACUUUGUUGGCACCAUGAUGUUUUGUUUAACCACAAGGCAUUCACUGAUCUACUUCUUAGCUUUUCCAUUCAUCAUAAGAAAGUGGAAGAACCGAUUCGUUUACUACAAUAAAAAUUGGAGCCGAUGAUAACACGACUGGCAUCACAGAAGAAACUGUAUCGGCUGUUUUCUUUACGCUCACACGUCCAACACAACAAUACACCGCCCACUACAGUUACAUAUCAAUCCAGGGAUGGGUGAUAAUGCGCAGCACGCCUCAUUAAAGUAAGGCUCGCUCCAGUCUAGUGAUUAGUGGGUUGAAUUAUGACAUCGCUUUGAUUUGGUUUUAUCUUUUCUAUGUACACUACCGUUC